Engraulis encrasicolus (European anchovy) is the source of this 441-nucleotide long non-coding RNA. RefSeq lists it as uncharacterized. The transcript is spliced from 3 exons. Lineage: Eukaryota; Metazoa; Chordata; Actinopteri; Clupeiformes; Engraulidae. The record is from RefSeq and is a predicted model, not a curated record.
UUGAAUGUGCGCAUAUACUGGAUGCUGAAACUAAACGACAAGCUUUAUGAAACCGUGGCAUUUUGCGUUGAGAUGGAAAAGGAACGCGCCACACUCUCCUGGAUACGAGGCUACGUGUGUGCGGCUUUUGCGCCAAAGGUCUUUCUACCAACAAAACAAAAUAGUAGGGCAGAAGUGACAGCGUCAGAAAGAAAACAAUGCUGUUCCGAUUGCUGAUGGAGACAACAGAGGAAGGUGCCAAGUAACUCUGGAGGAUAUUCUCGCCAUGACGAAUCGAGCUGGUAUCAACAUUCUUCGGAGAUUAUAGCCAAAACUCACAGGAACACACAGCUUUCAAUUGAGAAAUGCUGUACACAGCGCCCAGCGCCCUGGGAGCUGAACGUCUGCGGCCAGGUUACAGUACAGAAGGGUCAUCCAAGGUGCAUCAUGACCCUCAUCCAU